Molecule: ribosomal RNA, 305 nt
Filed under: uncultured bacterium
Lineage: Bacteria
Description: bacterial SSU rRNA
Rfam family: Bacterial small subunit ribosomal RNA
Source: RNAcentral
CCCUACGGGACGCAGCAGUGAGGAAUAUUGGUCAAUGGGCGCGAGCCUGAACCAGCCAAGUCGCGUGAGGGAAGACGGUCCUAUGGAUUGUAAACCUCUUUUGUCGGGGAGCAAAAGACGCCACGCGUGGCGUUCCGAGAGUACCCGAAGAAAAAGCAUCGGCUAACUCCGUGCCAGCAGUCGCGGUAAUACGGAGGAUGCGAGCGUUAUCCGGAUUUAUUUGGUUUCAAGGGUGCGCAGGCGGAAGAUCAAGUCAGCGGUAAAAUUGAGAGGCUCAACCUCUUCGAGCCGUUGAAACUGGUUUU